This is a long non-coding RNA of Suricata suricatta (meerkat), 607 nucleotides long. RefSeq lists it as uncharacterized. The record is from RefSeq and is a predicted model, not a curated record. Lineage: Eukaryota; Metazoa; Chordata; Mammalia; Carnivora; Herpestidae. The transcript has 3 exons.
CUCUCGCUGUGUGAGGGAUAAUGGCUUGAGUUUGGGACGAGAAGAAACGAAAACGAAUAGAAAUAGAGCAAUGCUGGAAAUAGUUUAUGAGUUUUCAAUGAAAUCCAGUAACGUUCCCGUCUUUAAUACAGCGUGUGCGCCCGGGUACGCUGACCCGCCUCUACGUCCAACAUUUACUAUGUGGGGCAGCUCAGCACUGCAGCCCUGUUUGUUGAUCAAGGCAAUCUCCCGGAGCUGCUCACGCACCGAAGCAGAAAUAGAAAGAAGGUGGCAAACACGACAAAGGAAAACCACAGUGAGAUGUCACCUCGCACCCGUCAGAGGGCUGCUGCCCAAAGGACCAGAAACAAGGAGUGUUACUGUCACCUGCUCUCCGUUAUCCGUACUUCAAAGGACUGGGUCAAGGCUGCUGACGCUGGGAACGUGAGUGAAUUUCGGCCCAGACAGCACAACCUUUAGAGUGAUGUGUGUGACUUCCUUUACCAGAGGGACACUGGGGACGGUGGACGGAGCCUACUCACAGCCACAUUGUCACCGCUGCACGGUGCUAACACCGAGCCCUCGUGUUCGACCAGAGACCCCUUAAUAAAAUUAAUAAAUGACUUAA